GACGAACGCUGGCGGCGUGCCUAAUACAUGCAAGUAGGACGCACAGUUUAUACCGUAGCUUGCUACACCAUAGACUGUGAGUUGCGAACGGGUGAGUAACGCGUAGGUAACCUGCCUAUUAGAGGGGGAUAACUAUUGGAAACGAUAGCUAAUACCGCAUAACAGUAUGUAACACAUGUUAGAUGCGGGAAAGAUGCAAUUGCAUCGCUAGUAGAUGGACCUGCGUUGUAUUAGCUAGUAGGUAGGGUAAAGGCCUACCUAGGCAACGAUACAUAGCCGACCUGAGAGGGUGAUCGGCCACACUGGGACUGAGACACGGCCCAGACUCCUACGGGAGGCAGCAGUAGGGAAUCUUCGGCAAUGGGGGGAACCCUGAUCGAGCAACGCCGCGUGAGUGAAGAAGGUUUUCGGAUCGUAAAGCUCUGUUGUUAAGGAAGAACGACGUGUGAUGAAGGGAAAGUUCAUACUGUGACGGUACUUAACCAGAAAGGGACGGCUAACUACGUGCCAGCAGCCGCGGUAAUACGUAGGUCCCGAGCGUUGUCCGGAUUUAUUGGGCGUAAAGCGAGCGCAGGCGGUUAGAAAAGUCUGAAGUGAAAGGCAGUGGCUCAACCAUUGUAGGCUUUGGAAACUGUUUAACUUGAGUGCAGAAGGGGAGAGUGGAAUUCCAUGUGUAGCGGUGAAAUGCGUAGAUAUAUGGAGGAACACCGGUGGCGAAAGCGGCUCUCUGGUCUGUAACUGACGCUGAGGCUCGAAAGCGUGGGGAGCGAACAGGAUUAGAUACCCUGGUAGUCCACGCCGUAAACGAUGAGUGCUAGGUGUUAGGUCCUUUCCGGGACUUAGUGCCGCAGCUAACGCAUUAAGCACUCCGCCUGGGGAGUACGACCGCAAGGUUGAAACUCGAAGGAAUUGACGGGGGCCCGCACAAGCGGUGGAGCAUGUGGUUUAAUUCGAAGCAACGCGAAGAACCUUACCAGGUCUUGACAUCCCGAUGCUAUUUCUAGAGAUAGGAAGUUUCUUC
Molecule: ribosomal RNA, 1021 nt
Filed under: Streptococcus anginosus
Lineage: Bacteria; Bacillati; Bacillota; Bacilli; Lactobacillales; Streptococcaceae
Description: bacterial SSU rRNA
Rfam family: Bacterial small subunit ribosomal RNA
Source: RNAcentral